Molecule: ribosomal RNA, 113 nt
Organism: Panthera pardus (leopard)
Lineage: Eukaryota; Metazoa; Chordata; Mammalia; Carnivora; Felidae
Source: Ensembl
GACAUUUGGUAGAGACUGUUGAAGCCACCUGGUCGCAGCAGACCCCGGAAGACAGCCACAUUCACUGGUGCUGGGGCAAGCUUGUUGAGGGUGAAGCCUGGUGUCAGAUGUGU